RNAcentral lists this ribosomal RNA (309 nucleotides) under uncultured Arcobacter sp. RNAcentral's name for it is "bacterial SSU rRNA". It matches the Rfam family "Bacterial small subunit ribosomal RNA", at positions 28 to 334 of the family's 1533-position model. The record is from RNAcentral. Lineage: Bacteria; Pseudomonadati; Campylobacterota; Epsilonproteobacteria; Campylobacterales; Arcobacteraceae.
GACGAACGCUGGCGGCGUGCCUAAUACAUGCAAGUUGAGCGAUGAAGAUUGGUGCUUGCACCAAUUUGAAGAGCAGCGAACGGGUGAGUAAUAUAUAGGUAACGUGCCCUAGAGAGGGGGAUAACAUUUGGAAACGAAUGCUAAUACCCCAUAUGCCUUUAAGUCUUAAGACUGCAAGGGAAAUAUUUAUAGCUCUAGGAUCGGCCUGUACGGUAUCAGUUUGUUGGUGAGGUAAUGACUCACCAAGACUAUGACGCCUAACUGGUUUGAGAGGAUGAUCAGUCACACUGGAACUGAGACACGGUCCAG